GUCAGAGCCCAAAGUGGGUCGGGUAGGAGGAUAGACUGAGACAGAAGAGAGAAAUUUCCUGCUUGACAUAAAGGAGCUGGACUUUGCUGUCUACCUCAGAUGCUCCCCUCCCAGCCCUGGGGGUUCUGGUCUGGCCCAAGUCUGGAAGAGGAAACAGCAGGGAUGGACUGAAAGAAAAGCUGAACUGUGAGGCAAGGAAUCUUAAGGACAGCCCUGGCCAACCCCACAGGGAGCUUUGGAGCUAGAAGUCUGGCCAAAGUUGCCUCAGGCACCUAAAAGAAGCAAGCCCAGCUGAGGACAAAAGAACCACCCAGUUGAGUCCAACACAAAUUGUCGCCCCACGGUAUAAUGAGCUGAAUAAAUGAUUGUUGUUUUAGAACACUAA
Long non-coding RNA from Neofelis nebulosa (Clouded leopard), 385 nucleotides. RefSeq lists it as uncharacterized. NCBI's taxonomy places the organism in Eukaryota, Metazoa, Chordata, Mammalia, Carnivora, Felidae. The transcript is spliced from 2 exons. The record is from RefSeq and is a predicted model, not a curated record.